UACGUAGGUGGCAAGCGUUGUCCGGAAUUAUUGGGCGUAAAGCGCGCGCAGGCGGAUCAGUCAGUCUGUCUUAAAAGUUCGGGGCUUAACCUCGUGAUGGGAUGGAAACUGCUGAUCUAGAGUAUCGGAGAGGAAAGUGGAAUUCCUAGUGUAGCGGUGAAAUGCGUAGAUAUUAGGAAGAACACCAGUGGCGAAGGCGACUUUCUGGACGAAAACUGACGCUGAGGCGCGAAAGCCAGGGGAGCGAACGGG
Molecule: ribosomal RNA, 252 nt
Filed under: Veillonella atypica KON
Lineage: Bacteria; Bacillati; Bacillota; Negativicutes; Veillonellales; Veillonellaceae
Description: partial 16S ribosomal RNA
Rfam family: Bacterial small subunit ribosomal RNA
Source: RNAcentral